UCUCUCUCUCUCUCUGUGUCUCUCAUGAAUAGAUAAAUAAAAUCUUUAAAAAAAAUCGUGGCAUAUGUAACACGUAUAUGGAAACGUGCCCCAAACAGAAACAUACAGUUUCACAGAUUAUUAUCUAGCAAACUCCAUAUCCUACAAGUGAUCAGGAAAUAGUCCAGACUGUGGAAGGAGCCUCUGUCCAUCGAAAGAUGAGUGGAUAAAGAAGAUGUGGUUUAUGUAUACAAUGGAAUAUUCCUCAGCCGUUGGAAACGACAAAUACCCACCAUUUGCUUCAACGUGGAUGGAACUGGAGGGUAUUAUGCUGAGUGAAAUUCCUGUCCUGUGCAACGCGAAUGUACAAACCAGACACUCUCUCUUUUAAAAACAUCAUUAUUUCAAACAAGCUGAGAAGUCGCAUCUGAAUCCAAGCAACACAGAAAUCUAAGGGCACCACCCGCCGGCAAAUGUCAGCUCUUCAUAUGAAAUGGCAAAGAGCUGGAGAAAUUUAUAGAUCCCUCCGUAGGGGACCGGCUAAUGACAGCCACAGGGCAGUGGCUGUCACACAGCAUCGGCCGCAAUGUCUGGGAAAACCCAAAAUAUACCAACCAUGUGGUCUGUCCGGUGCACCUUUCCAGGUGCUCUGAUUCUCGGGGGACUCUGAGUCUUUGAGCUCUUUACCCUUCUGUAGAUUGGAAAUGACAGAGCGAGGCAAAUAGUCCUUGUCCACAGCCAUGCAAGGAACUUUUGUCUGCUGGAGAUUCAGUGAAUUUCCCUCUUCCCCUGGGGGAAAAGCCAGUUUUCGAUAUAUUCAGGAAAUUCCUUUACCUUUCCUGAAAGAAAACCUGCAUGUCUGUCACCCCUCGGGAUUUGUCCUUUGAACCGGUUGUAUCAUCUUACUGAGGUAUUAUAAUUAAAAUGUUUGACAUGCGCCCAUUUGGGAGUUGUGUGACAGUCAUGAUUUCACGUGGCAACAAAGUUCUCCACGCAGCAUGGAUUUGCAGGAGAUUUUUAUUGCCCUCUUUCUUUUCAGCAUUUUUCCAACUCUUCAUAUUAGGUAUAU
Molecule: long non-coding RNA, 1048 nt
Organism: Canis lupus familiaris (dog)
Lineage: Eukaryota; Metazoa; Chordata; Mammalia; Carnivora; Canidae
Exons: 3
Source: RefSeq, a predicted model, not a curated record